RNAcentral lists this transfer RNA (77 nucleotides) under Marmota monax (woodchuck). RNAcentral's name for it is "tRNA.Val". The stretch from base 8 to 71 matches the Rfam family "tRNA", at positions 6 to 65 of the family's 71-position model. Rfam says of the family: Transfer RNA (tRNA) molecules are approximately 80 nucleotides in length. Lineage: Eukaryota; Metazoa; Chordata; Mammalia; Rodentia; Sciuridae. The record is from RNAcentral.
UGGGGUAUAUAGUUCAGUGGAAGAGUGUUUGCCUGACAUGCAAAAGAAAGCUCUAGGUUAAAUCCCCAGUACUGCAC